Molecule: ribosomal RNA, 680 nt
Filed under: bacterium enrichment culture clone CO11
Lineage: Bacteria
Also listed under: 1 other name
Description: bacterial SSU rRNA
Rfam family: Bacterial small subunit ribosomal RNA
Source: RNAcentral
CGCCGCGUGAGUGAUGAAGGUUUUCGGAUCGUAAAGCUCUGUUGUUAGGGAAGAACAAGUACCGUUCGAAUAGGGCGGUACCUUGACGGUACCUAACCAGAAAGCCACGGCUAACUACGUGCCAGCAGCCGCGGUAAUACGUAGGUGGCAAGCGUUGUCCGGAAUUAUUGGGCGUAAAGGGCUCGCAGGCGGUUUCUUAAGUCUGAUGUGAAAGCCCCCGGCUCAACCGGGGAGGGUCAUUGGAAACUGGGGAACUUGAGUGCAGAAGAGGAGAGUGGAAUUCCACGUGUAGCGGUGAAAUGCGUAGAGAUGUGGAGGAACACCAGUGGCGAAGGCGACUCUCUGGUCUGUAACUGACGCUGAGGAGCGAAAGCGUGGGGAGCGAACAGGAUUAGAUACCCUGGUAGUCCACGCCGUAAACGAUGAGUGCUAAGUGUUAGGGGGUUUCCGCCCCUUAGUGCUGCAGCUAACGCAUUAAGCACUCCGCCUGGGGAGUACGGUCGCAAGACUGAAACUCAAAGGAAUUGACGGGGGCCCGCACAAGCGGUGGAGCAUGUGGUUUAAUUCGAAGCAACGCGAAGAACCUUACCAGGUCUUGACAUCCUCUGACAAUCCUAGAGAUAGGACGUCCCCUUCGGGGGCAGAGUGACAGGUGGUGCAUGGUUGUCGUCAGCUCGUGU